RNAcentral lists this ribosomal RNA (756 nucleotides) under Flavobacterium sp. Its description in RNAcentral is "bacterial SSU rRNA". It matches the Rfam family "Bacterial small subunit ribosomal RNA", at positions 90 to 849 of the family's 1533-position model. The record is from RNAcentral. Lineage: Bacteria; Pseudomonadati; Bacteroidota; Flavobacteriia; Flavobacteriales; Flavobacteriaceae.
UGAGACCGGCGCACGGGUGCGUAACGCGUAUGCAAUCUACCUUGUACAGGGGGAUAGCCCAGAGAAAUUUGGAUUAAUACCCCAUAGUAUUAUUAAAUGGCAUCAUUUAAUUAUUAAAGUUCCAACGGUACAAGAUGAGCAUGCGUCCCAUUAGCUAGUUGGUGUGGUAACGGCACACCAAGGCAACGAUGGGUAGGGGUCCUGAGAGGGAGAUCCCCCACACUGGUACUGAGACACGGACCAGACUCCUACGGGAGGCAGCAGUGAGGAAUAUUGGUCAAUGGACGCAAGUCUGAACCAGCCAUGCCGCGUGCAGGAUGACGGUCCUAUGGAUUGUAAACUGCUUUUGUACAGGAAGAAACACUCCCUUGCGAGGGAGCUUGACGGUACUGUAAGAAUAAGGAUCGGCUAACUCCGUGCCAGCAGCCGCGGUAAUACGGAGGAUCCAAGCGUUAUCCGGAAUCAUUGGGUUUAAAGGGUCCGUAGGCGGUUUUAUAAGUCAGUGGUGAAAUCUGGUCGCUCAACGAUCAAACGGCCAUUGAUACUGUAAGACUUGAAUUACUUGGAAGUAACUAGAAUAUGUAGUGUAGCGGUGAAAUGCUUAGAGAUUACAUGGAAUACCAAUUGCGAAGGCAGGUUACUACGAGUACAUUGACGCUGAUGGACGAAAGCGUGGGGAGCGAACAGGAUUAGAUACCCUGGUAGUCCACGCCGUAAACGAUGGAUACUAGCUGUUUGGAGCAAUCUGAGUGGCUA